GGCUGUGCUUAGAGAGGUGAACCCAUUGAGUUCGGUUACAUUCACACCUCAGCCUCCAACCAUCCCUAACACACACACACACUCACCAGCAAACAUCCCAGCCAAACUCCCAUCCUGCCUAGAGGGUCCUGGCUACCUCAGGUGACGAGGACAACUCAACGUUAGGGGUGGCUCUGCCAGCCGCACACCUCAAGAUCCACGGGGUUGCUGGUGUGGAGGAGGCGCUGGCAUGGACAGCCUUUCGGCCCCAGAGCCUUUUCUGGUCAGGGCAGCCUGCUGCUGAGGAGACCUGGCUGCAUGCCAGGCUGUGUGCCACCCUGACCUGUGUCCAGGGCCACCACUGCAUGGUCACAGACUGUUGGAGUUGGAAAGGCCCCUCAUUUCACAGGCAGAGAUGCUGUGGCCCCGCAGUCGGAUGCAGCCAUGCAAGGGAUGGAGAUUUCAAAGGCAAACCUAUGAUUGUGUUGUCAUCACUCUGCUUUGGCCUUGGGUGCCCCGGCCCUCCUUCCAGGGAGGAGAACUGUGUGAAGAUUCGUCCUGAGCUAACAUCCGUGCCAGUCUUCCUCUAUUUUUUAGUAUGUGGGCCACCAGCACAGCAGGGCCGCUAACAGAGCGGAGUAGGUCCACGCCCAGGAACCGAACCCAGGUCGCUGAAGCAGAGUGCACUGAACUUAACCACUAGGCCACUGGGGCUAGCCCCAAAGCCGUCUUUAUUUAUUUAUUUUGUUUGUUUGUUUUUUUUGGAGGAAGAUUAGCCCUCAGCUAACUACUGCCAGUCCUCCUCUUUUUGCUGAGGAAGCCUGGCUCUGAGCUAACAUCCGUGCCCAUCUUCCUCUAGUUUAUACCACAGCAUGGCUGCCAAGCAGUGCCAUGUCCGCACCCGGAAUCCAACCAGCGAACCCCGGGCCACCGAGAAGCGGAAUGAUCUCUUCUUGCUGACUCUUCUAACCGUCUGCUUACCAGUGAGAUACCCUCUAAUCACAGACCACAGAUACGCCCCAGAGGACAAGCUGGGACCCUGGCUGAGACACACUUACAAGUGGCCAUGGUCAUUGCUUCAUUGCUGGAAGCCCCCAUCCCAUCCCACCUCACCCACCCCUCCCACAGGGGGCUGUCCCUGCCUGUCGGAUCACCAUGGUGUCCCAGUUCCCUGCACAGGGCCUGCCAGGGAACCAUCGCCGUUGGAGAAUAGCCCUUUGGACACCCCUCCGGCUCCUCCACUCCUCCCCACCUUUUGCCCAAGAUUCAGACUCAGCAGGUUUGGGUAGGGCCUGAGUCCCUAAAAGCGUCCAAGUGGGUCUGCAGCCCAGCUGGCCCCACCCACCUGCACGCUGAGGUGCUGGGGUUCCAAGGCUAUCCCCCGAGGUGUCUGCAUUCCAGAAGCAAGGAUGGAUGGCCAAGAGUGGAAUUUCAGGCAGUAAGUGCAGUGGUUAUGAACCUGCGCUCAAGAAGUUCAAAUUCCUGAUCUUGACCUUGGGCAAGUCCUUAACCUGCUUGAGCCUCAGUGUCAUCUGUGGAAUGGGGAAGUAAUAGCAUCCACCUUGCAGAGUUGCCGUGAUGAUUAAGUGAGUACCUGGCAGCUAAUGUAUGUAAGUGUGAACGGUUAUUAUAAUCUGUGCUAUUUCUAGGACAGAAAUCUGUUUAGAGGUGGAAAUGUCUUUUAGUCCCUCUGAAAUCAUCUCAAAGGUGCUUUCCUCGUCUCAUGAAAGGCCAGCUCAGCUGCCUGGCCGCAACGUGGACUUUCAGAGACUAGGUGGACCCUAUGUCUGAUCUGGAUUAGACCAUCAGGGCCUUUGAAAUGUUAAUGAGGGUUGUGUUUUGACACUGCCAGUUCAAAGGGAAGCAUUAGGAAGCAGUGUUUCCCCUGGGAAGCGGGCAGGAAAGCCCUGAGGUUGGGGGGAGGGUCAGCGGGGCAGGUGGCCGCUGGUCAUCAAACCUCUACUAGGAGAGUUGGAGAAACCUGUGACAUCACCAAGUCCAAGCCCCCCAUUGUACAGAUGGAGAAAUUGAGGGUGUCACCCUCUGGUGAGGAUGCACAUCCACUGAGAAUCGGUGCCCUAGGAGGUUCCGUGCAGCUGCGGGACAUGUGUAGGGGCAGUGAAGGUGGGAUGGUGAAGCCCUUUAUGCCGUAGAAGGCACCAUGGUGGGGCCCAGGGCUAGUCAGACAGAGCUGGGGGGCAGGGCCCAUGCCUGGGGUCAAGCCCUGACCCAUAACCUCUGCCUGGCCCUUCCUUAACGGGGCAGGCCAACCUAGGCUGACCCCGAGGGAAUAUGAUGAAGAGUGGCUGUGAGGGCCCCUGGAGGCCAGUUCUGCAGCAUCCACCCCUGUUCUGUGCCCUCUUUUGGAACGUAUUUGUGCUGCCCCAAUUUCUAAGAAUUCAGAAACUCCUUCAGGGACCAAACUCAUCCCAGGAAUAAAAACUCAAUUCAGUUCUCCACUAAAACCAUUUCUUCUUUUGAAACGCUUUAUACAGAUGUUGGAUUCCAGGAAAUUCAGGUUUGAAUCCCCAUUCCACUACUUAUUGUUAAAAACAACAUGGAACAAACCUUGACUCUUAGAGCCUCAGUUUCCCCAUCUGUAAAGUAGGGAGAGUCAUCUCUGCUUUGCAGUCUUGCUGAGAAGAUUAAAUUAACUUAAUUUAUUUUAUUAAAUUUAUUUUAUUUAUUAAAUUAAAUUAAUUCAGCCACUCAUUCAACACAUUUUUCCUGAGCACCUACUAUGUGCCAGACAUCGAUGACACAGCAAUGAAUACACGAGAGAGAGACAGCAGCAUGUGCUCAUGGGGCCUUCAGAGUGAUAUCAACCAAUAGUGACCCCAAUAUCUAUGCGACCAAC
Equus asinus (donkey) is the source of this 2836-nucleotide long non-coding RNA. The record is from Ensembl. Lineage: Eukaryota; Metazoa; Chordata; Mammalia; Perissodactyla; Equidae.